UACGUAGGGGGCGAGCGUUAUCCGGAUUCAUUGGGCGUAAAGCGCGCGUAGGCGGCCUGCUAGGUCGGGAGUCAAAUCCGGGGGCUCAACCCCCGUCCGCUCCCGAUACCGGCUGGCUUGAGUCUGGUAGGGGAAGGUGGAAUUCCCAGUGUAGCGGUGGAAUGCGCAGAUAUUGGGAAGAACACCGGUGGCGAAGGCGGCCUUCUGGGCCACGACUGACGCUGAGGCGCGAAAGCUAGGGGAGCGAACAGG
Molecule: ribosomal RNA, 252 nt
Filed under: uncultured bacterium
Lineage: Bacteria
Description: partial 16S ribosomal RNA
Rfam family: Bacterial small subunit ribosomal RNA
Source: RNAcentral